AAAAAGUCAGGUUGACCAUGGCAUAUGAGAUGAAAGGCCUCUAAUACAUGGCAUAUGAGAUGGACAAGGGAGGACCAUAAGCAAUCCCUAAGUCAAACAUCGAUCAUAAAGAAGUCAAUUGAAAAUUCAAGUCAACUUAAUAAUUAUCAAAUAAAUAGCAAAUUAAUCAAAAAAAUUAUGAAAAAUUAAACUAAGUAAGGUGCGGUCAGG
Molecule: long non-coding RNA, 210 nt
Filed under: Lathyrus oleraceus (garden pea)
Lineage: Eukaryota; Viridiplantae; Streptophyta; Magnoliopsida; Fabales; Fabaceae
Description: Pisum sativum (pea) long non-coding RNA (PSAT_LNC038914)
Source: RNAcentral